UGGGGAAUAUUGCACAAUGGGCGAAAGCCUGAUGCAGCAACGCCGCGUGAGUGAUGAAGGUCUUCGGAUUGUAAAGCUCUGUCUUUUGGGACGAUAAUGACGGUACCAAAGGAGGAAGCCACGGCUAACUACGUGCCAGCAGCCGCGGUAAUACGUAGGUGGCGAGCGUUGUCCGGAUUUACUGGGCGUAAAGGGUGCGUAGGCGGAUGUUUAAGUGAGAUGUGAAAUACCCGGGCUUAACUUGGGUGCUGCAUUUCAAACUGGAUAUCUAGAGUGCAGGAGAGGAGAGUGGAAUUCCUAGUGUAGCGGUGAAAUGCGUAGAGAUUAGGAAGAACACCAGUGGCGAAGGCGAUUCUCUGGACUGUAACUGACGCUGAGGCACGAAAGCGUGGGUAGCAAACAGGAUUAGAUACCCUGGUAGUCCACGCCGUAAACGAUGAGUACUAGGUGUAGGAGGUAUCGACCCCUUCUGUGCCGCAGUAAACACAUUAAGUACUCCGCCUGGGAAGUACGAUCGCAAGAUUAAAAC
RNAcentral lists this ribosomal RNA (529 nucleotides) under uncultured bacterium. RNAcentral describes it as "partial 16S ribosomal RNA". It matches the Rfam family "Bacterial small subunit ribosomal RNA", at positions 355 to 900 of the family's 1533-position model. The record is from RNAcentral.